GCAUCGAUGAAGAACGCAGCGAAAUGCGAUAAGUAAUGUGAAUUGCAGAAUUCAGUGAAUCAUCGAAUCUUUGAACGCACCUUGCGCCCCUUGGUAUUCCGAGGGGCAUGCCUGUUUGAGUGUCAUUUAAUUCUCAGCCUUAUUAGCUUUUGCUUCUAAUGGUCUGGAUGUGGGGGUCUUUGCUGGUUUCGCAAGAAAUCUGCUCCCCUUAAAUGUAUUAGCCGGUGCCCUACGUGGACUGUCUACUGGUGUGAUAAUUAUCUACGCCGUUAGAUGUCUGCUUUAAAUGGGAUGCGCUGCUUCUAAUCGUCCUUUCAGGACAAUUAUUGACCAUUUUGACCUC
This is a ribosomal RNA of 343 nucleotides. The stretch from base 1 to 125 matches the Rfam family "5.8S ribosomal RNA", at positions 30 to 154 of the family's 154-position model.